Long non-coding RNA from Pygocentrus nattereri (red-bellied piranha), 1173 nucleotides. The record is from Ensembl. Lineage: Eukaryota; Metazoa; Chordata; Actinopteri; Characiformes; Serrasalmidae.
CUUUGAAAUGAACCUCAGCGCAUCGUUAACUGUCCCAAAAUAACCUAAUAAAGGAGCACAGAAACGGAGUUAAGUAACUUUGCUUUAUUCCCUCGGGGUAAUCCGCUCCUGUGAGACACAGUAGUGCACUGUAGAUAUGAUGCCAACUGCAGACUGUAAGAACUUAAUUAGCGCUGCUGCUGCUGUGGUGUCCAGGGGCUUUAGCUGAGAGACCGGAACAAGCAGCUGCACUUUAUUAAAAGGUCAGGGCCAUUAAAAUCAACCACAAAUAACUUGAGACAUUGGAGUUCAUCACGAGAGAACUGUUCUUUGCGAUGUGUGUAUUCAUCUGCAGACAGCAGUUUUGGCCUUUCCUCUGAAUUUGCUUUGCAGUUACCCGAUUCAAAUACGCGCUUCAUUUAGGCCCAAUCCCAUUUCACCCCUCGCCCCUACCACUUAGCCCUUAGCCCUCUGUUUUGCGCGUUCUCGUCUAGGGUCAGAGUGUCCCAAUUUGUGCUGAGAUAGAGGGGUAGGGCGAAGUGUUAGGGCUACAUGGCCCGGCAAACUGGUUUUUCAGAGGUUCACUCCAAACGGAAUGUAAAGAAAAGCCGGCAAGUUGGCUGCGCGAGCGACCAAAGAAACCCACAAAUAAGAAGCAUGAAGCCUCUGAUCAAGCGCUGAACUCUUCUGGGACUACAUUGCUCAUUUUCUCUCUUCAGAUCCUCAUCUACUACUAUUGUCUGUGGAAUCUGAAAAAUACUUCCUUGAAACACGCUUUACAAGCCAAGUAUUUGUAUUUCAUAAUCUGUGAAUUCAAGUACUCAUAUCUGGAUUAUGUUUAACACUUAAACAUGUGGAAUCUUGUUCAAUAAUAACCUGCAAACACAAUAAAUACUAACAUCAUUCUCAGUGCUAUGCAGCUUCAGCUACAUUCAUCCAGCCAUGGCUAAGUAGCAUCCAGACAGUUUUUGUACAAUCUACACACAAUGUUUGGCUUGGUACUUAUAAAUAUGAACAAAAAUGUGUUAUAAGCACAUGAAGGAAAAAAAACUAAAUUGAUAAAGGAAAAAGUAUUCAUCACAAAUGGAUAACACUAGUACUUUGUUGCACUGUUGACUGCAGCUUUGAGACAUAUAUGGAAAGAAUAAAUUGAUUUUGCAGCAAUGUGGUUCAAUUUUUGAUUUAAAAUUUCAA